This 305-nucleotide ribosomal RNA is filed under the name uncultured bacterium. RNAcentral describes it as "bacterial SSU rRNA". It matches the Rfam family "Bacterial small subunit ribosomal RNA", at positions 332 to 635 of the family's 1533-position model. The record is from RNAcentral.
CAGACCCUACGGGGGGCAGCAGUGAGGAAUAUUGGUCAAUGGACGGAAGUCUGAACCAGCCAUGCCGCGUGCAGGAAGACGGCUCUAUGAGUUGUAAACUGCUUUUGUACAAGGGUAAACCUGAAUACGUGUAUUCAGCUGAAAGUACUGUACGAAUAAGGAUCGACUAACUCCGUGCCAGCAGCCGCGGUAAUACGGAGGACCCAAGCGUUAUCCGGAUUUAUUGGGUUUAAAGGGUGCGUAGGCGGAUUGAUAAGUUAGCGGUGAAAUGUCCGUGCUCAACUCGGGAACUGCCUCUAAUACUG